AGCGACAAAGGCAAACCCUGAGUGAUCAGGGGACGCAAAGUAACAGGGUCUCUGGGUUUGCACGACGAAGAAACUCCAGCAGCAGCAGCAGCAGCAGCAGAAAGAUAGCCUUACUGCCGAAG
Molecule: non-coding RNA, 122 nt
Filed under: Candidatus Brocadia
Lineage: Bacteria; Pseudomonadati; Planctomycetota; Candidatus Brocadiia; Candidatus Brocadiales; Candidatus Brocadiaceae
Description: c-di-GMP sequence
Rfam family: c-di-GMP-I riboswitch aptamer
About the family: GEMM was predicted in a large-scale screen for bacterial structured RNA regulatory elements. Genes associated with GEMM are involved in a diverse array of functions, including chemotaxis regulation, signal transduction, secretion and chitin.
Source: RNAcentral